AGGACCCGUCUUGAAACACGGACCAAGGAGUCUAACAUGUGCGCGAGUCAUUGGGACUGUAAAGCCUAAAGGCGCAAUGAAAGUGAAGGUCGUCCUUAGCGUCGACCGAGGGAGGAUGGCUCGCGUCACGAUGCGAGCCCGCACUCCCGGGGCGUCUCGUGCUCAUUGCGAGCAGAGGCGCACCCAGAGCGUACACGUUGGGACCCGAAAGAUGGUGAACUAUGCCUGGUCAGGACGAAGUCAGGGGAAACCCUGAUGGAGGUCCGUAGCGAUUCUGACGUGCAAAUCGAUCGUCGGAACUGGGUAUAGGGGCGAAAGACUAAUCGAACCAUCUAGUAGCUGGUUCCCUCCGAAGUUUCCCUCAGGAUAGCUGGCACUCGCUUGAGCGAGUCUCAUCUGGUAAAGCGAAUGAUUAGAGGCCUUGGGGCCGAAACGACCUCAACCUAUUCUCAAACUUUAAAUGGGUGAGAUCUCUGGCUUGCUUGAACGUUGAAGCCACGAGAUAUUUUCAAAUGGAUCAGAGUGCCAAGUGGGCCAAUUUUGGUAAGCAGAACUGGCGCUGUGGG
Molecule: ribosomal RNA, 566 nt
Filed under: Elachertus sp. D1580
Lineage: Eukaryota; Metazoa; Arthropoda; Insecta; Hymenoptera; Eulophidae
Also listed under: 1 other name
Description: eukaryotic LSU rRNA
Rfam family: Eukaryotic large subunit ribosomal RNA
Source: RNAcentral